AAAACAUCGCCUCUUGUAAAACAUAAGAGGUCCAGCCUGCCCAGUGACUCUGUUCAACGGCCGCGGUAUCCUAACCGUGCGAAGGUAGCGUAAUCACUUGCCCUUUAAAUGAGGGCUAGUAUGAAUGGCAUCACGAAGGUUGCACUGUCUCCUCCCUCUAAUCAGUGAAACUAAUCUCCCCGUGAAGAAGCGGGGAUACUCGUAUAAGACGAGAAGACCCUAUGGAGCUUUAAACUAAGCAACAACUGCUAAUACAAGUAGCCUAUUCGAGAAAUUUAACCCGCACGCUAGCACAGUGAUUGCUAAUUUUCGGUUGGGGUGACCACGGAGUAAAAUAAAACCUCCGCGUUGAGACGGGAUUUCCCUUUAGCGAUAAGCCACAACUUUAUGCAUCAACAAAUUGACACUAAUUGACCCAAUAUUUUGACCAACGAACCAAGUUACCCUAGGGAUAACAGCGCAAUCCAUUUCAAGAGCCCCUAUCGACAAAUGGGUUUACGACCUCGAUGUUGGAUCAGGACAUCCUAGUGGUGCAGCCGCCACUAAAGGUUCGUUUGUUCAACGAUUAAAGUCCUA
This 576-nucleotide ribosomal RNA is filed under the name Gastrotheca dendronastes (Rio Calima marsupial frog). RNAcentral's name for it is "partial 16S ribosomal RNA". It matches the Rfam family "Bacterial large subunit ribosomal RNA", at positions 1810 to 2598 of the family's 2925-position model. The record is from RNAcentral. Lineage: Eukaryota; Metazoa; Chordata; Amphibia; Anura; Hemiphractidae.